GAUUGUUGAGACUUUUAUUUUGGUAAGGCUACUUUUAUUUUGAAGGCCAUUUUGUCAUGUGUGUAGACUGCGACUUUUUUCUAGUCAUUUCCAGAGAGUCAAUUCAGUGAGAGCACAUGGCUUUGUUCUCUUCCUUUUCGGACACUGUAAGCGCCACAGACGCAAUGUCUUUUCACUCUAUCUGUGUAUGAAGAUGAGCCACAGUAAAGCCACAGGAAACUA
This is a long non-coding RNA of Notolabrus celidotus (New Zealand spotty), 222 nucleotides long. RefSeq lists it as uncharacterized. The transcript has 2 exons. The record is from RefSeq and is a predicted model, not a curated record. NCBI's taxonomy places the organism in Eukaryota, Metazoa, Chordata, Actinopteri, Labriformes, Labridae.